This is a long non-coding RNA of Herpailurus yagouaroundi (jaguarundi), 733 nucleotides long. RefSeq lists it as uncharacterized. Lineage: Eukaryota; Metazoa; Chordata; Mammalia; Carnivora; Felidae. The transcript has 3 exons. The record is from RefSeq and is a predicted model, not a curated record.
UACCAGGGUUCAAAGAGACACGGGCUCUUCCAAGAACUGAAGAUGGACUUGUGAGAUAAGGAGAUGAGGCCAAGCCCACGUGCUAGAAGCAGAAAUGCAAACUGCACACGGGGCGGCGAAGGGGGGACUGGAGGGGCCGCCUUGGACACAGGAAACACCAAGAGCAGCGCCAGCUGCAACAGGACCAGGGCCAAAACCAGGACCGGGACCAGGACCAGCAGGCCCAGCACGACCAGCAACACCAGCACAGGGGCCUGCAUGAGGACCAAGCGCAAACCGGUAGCACGGUUCACCAUCUAACCGGAAAACUGAAAUAAAACCACGAAGAGUCACUCUCUGAUCUGAUCAAGUGAGAUACAGAAAUGAGAUGCCUACUGUGUAAGGCAAACGUGCUUCCUGACCUCAGAGAGACUGCUUUCCAGCGGGGGAGAAAGACAAGAGAUCAAAGAACCCGCUUUCUCCUCCCCGUGUGCUGGCAAGACGCGGAUCGGCUGCUUUGGAAUCCCCACGCCUUCCGGCACACGCUCCCCCCCUGCACACACCGGAUUCAUCACUCAGAGGAUGGGGGCGAUGAGGCGGGCUUCGGGGGUAUGAAUCGCAAUGCUGCACUCAGUCACUGGCCGUGGGCACACCCCUUAAGUUCUUUAGAAGUUUCCUUGUCGGGGCACCUGGGUGGCUCAGUAGGUUACACAUCCGACUUCAGCUCAGGUCAUGAUCUCACGGUUGGUGGGUU